Molecule: small nuclear RNA, 153 nt
Filed under: Punica granatum (pomegranate)
Lineage: Eukaryota; Viridiplantae; Streptophyta; Magnoliopsida; Myrtales; Lythraceae
Source: RNAcentral
AUUUCUAUUUGGAGACAUCUGAUAAAAUUUGAACGACACAGAGAAGAUUAGCAUCGCCCCUUAUGCCAGAACCAAAAAAAAGGAGGGGAGGGGGAAUUAGCACCGCCCCUGUGGAAGGAUGACAUGCACCAAUGAUAAAUAAUGAAGAGAUUG